Molecule: ribosomal RNA, 400 nt
Filed under: phytoplankton environmental sample
Lineage: Eukaryota
Description: partial small subunit ribosomal RNA
Rfam family: Eukaryotic small subunit ribosomal RNA
Source: RNAcentral
AGCUCCAAUAGCGUAUAUUAAAGUUGUUGCAGUUAAAAAGCUCGUAGUUGGAUUUGUGGUGUAUGCCGGCGGCCCGUCACUAUGUGAUGGAGCUUGCUUGCGUCGCCAUCCUUGGGUGGAUCCUGUGUGGCAUUAAGUUGUCGUGCAGGGGAUGCCCAUCGUUUACUGUGAAAAAAUUAGAGUGUUCAAAGCAGGCUUAUGCCGUUGAAUAUGUUAGCAUGGAAUAAUAAGAUAGGACCUUGGUACUAUUUUGUUGGUUUGCGCACCAAGGUAAUGAUUAAUAGGGACAGUUGGGGGUAUUCGUAUUUCAUUGUCAGAGGUGAAAUUCUUGGAUUUUUGAAAGACGAACUACUGCGAAAGCAUUUACCAAGGAUGUUUUCAUUAAUCAAGAACGAAAGUA